UGAGUAACCUGCCCUUAACUCUGGGAUAAGCCUGGGGAAACUGGGUCUAAUACCGGAUAUGACUCCUCAUCGCAUGGUGGGGGGUGGAAAGCUUUAUUGUGGUUUUGGAUGGACUCGCGGCCUAUCAGCUUGUUGGUGAAGUAAUGGCUCACCAAGGCGACGACGGGUAGCCGGCCUGAGAGGGUGACCGGCCACACUGGGACUGAGACACGGCCCAGACUCCUACGGGAGGCAG
RNAcentral lists this ribosomal RNA (235 nucleotides) under uncultured bacterium. RNAcentral's name for it is "partial 16S ribosomal RNA". It matches the Rfam family "Bacterial small subunit ribosomal RNA", at positions 118 to 351 of the family's 1533-position model. The record is from RNAcentral.